This 402-nucleotide ribosomal RNA is filed under the name uncultured prokaryote. RNAcentral's name for it is "bacterial SSU rRNA". It matches the Rfam family "Bacterial small subunit ribosomal RNA", at positions 355 to 774 of the family's 1533-position model. The record is from RNAcentral.
UAGGGAAUAUUAGAAAUGGACGAAAGUCUGAUCUAGCAACACCGCGUGUGCGAAGAAGGCCUUAGGGUUGUAAAGCACUUUUUGGAAGGAUUAGGAAGGAAUGUACUUCCAGAAUAAGUCUCGGCUAACUACGUGCCAGCAGCCGCGGUAACACGUAGGAGGCAAACGUUAUACGGAUUUAAUGGGCGUAAAGCGAGUGUGGGUGGUUCUGUAAGUAGGGCGUGAAAGCUCCUGGCUCAACUGGGAGAGGCCGUUCUAAACUGCAGAGCUAGAGUAUGGUAGAGGGAGGUGGAAUUCCGGGUGUAGCGGUGGAAUGCGCAGAUAUCCGGAGGAACACCAGUGGCGAAAGCGGCCUCCUGGACCAUUCCUGACACUCAGACGCGAAAGCUAGGGUAGCAAACG